This 181-nucleotide microRNA precursor is filed under the name Oryza nivara. Its description in RNAcentral is "MIR812 microRNA precursor family". It matches the Rfam family "MIR812 microRNA precursor family". Lineage: Eukaryota; Viridiplantae; Streptophyta; Magnoliopsida; Poales; Poaceae. The record is from Rfam by way of RNAcentral.
AAUAAGUACAGUUUUGCACUAUUCACGUUCAAUGUUUAACUGUUCGUCUUAUUUGAAAAUUUUUUAUGAUUAGUAUUUUUAUUGCUAUUAGAUGAUAAAACAUGAAUAGUACUCUAUGUGUGACUAAAUAUCUUUAAAUUUGGUCAAACGUUGUGCACGGAUAUUCACGGCUGCACUUAUU